Molecule: long non-coding RNA, 4427 nt
Filed under: Chlamydomonas reinhardtii
Lineage: Eukaryota; Viridiplantae; Chlorophyta; Chlorophyceae; Chlamydomonadales; Chlamydomonadaceae
Description: long non-coding RNA (CREI_LNC000483)
Source: RNAcentral
UUGUGCACUGGAAUUUUGCAAUGUCGAUCACAUCAGUGCCUUGAUCACUCUUUCACGUGAUAUGACGCCCGGCAACUUUAUCACACGCUUGCUUGCUUGGCUGCGUUAGUGACGUAGCGACACUCGCCCCUUCCUUGUAUCUGCCGUGGCUCCACGCACUGACUGCAAACCUUGCCGGUGCAUUCGCCGCUGCCAACCGCUGACGUAUUGUAGCGAAGGACCGGUGCAGACCGGCAAGAAGUCGGUGGUCAUGGUAAGCGUGCGCUGAGGUGCAGUAUGUGUCCCUCCCGCACGUGUAGGGUCCCGUGCAACCGCUGCGAGGGCAGCGAGUACGGUAAUGCUUCCGGACUACUGCUUUGUCUCACGUACUCCAUGGGUAUGCCCCUUGAUGGAUGCAGGAGGUCGCGCGCACAAACGGCAUUACCGUGCUGCACCUGGACAAGCACUCGCUCGAGGCAGCCCACAAGGCGGCGUGCUGCUGGGGCGCGCUCGGCAGCUGGUGGUCCGGCGGCGGCAGCGUGGUGGCGGCUGCUUUCUCGCUCGCCAAGAAGCUGCAGCCGUGCAUCAUCCUGCUGGGUGAGUAGUGAGUGCCGCAUGUUAGGUAAAGUCUCUUAAACGCUUUUGCCUAAGGUUGUGUUACAGUGCCAUACACGGAUGUGAUGGUUGUGUCUUGCUUGCACAAGUCCUUGCAGUGAUCUCAUCCUUGGCGCUCAACAACUCCCCGCUCUGCCACGUCCAUUCUCUCUCAAUGUUUGCGCAGACAAACCGCACGAGCUGUCGCGAGGAAUGCAGGUGUGCGUGCAUGCGUUCUGCGUGGGCUCUAAUGAAAAGCCACCCGCUUCAAUUGGUGUGAUAGCUACCAUACCGCGUGUGCACUGAGAUGGUUUCAUCCUCGUGGCAAUGCCACUCUCUGCUGUGCUGUCUCAGGUGGCGCUCCGCGCCGAGCUGCAACGGCUGCGGGCGGCGCCGCAGGCCUGGUCGCAGGAGCGCGUGUCGGUGGUGGUGACCGUCGCGCCGCUGCUGUGGCAUCCGCCGGUCCAUGUGCCGGCCCGCCACCGCAUGAAGGUACGGCAUGGGCGAUGGUGGCGCGCGGCGCCCAUCCAGCAGGCUCGUGUUCGUGUUUUUAUUUGCUGAGCCCCUGGAGCGCAGAGGGAGGCAAAGUCCCCCUGGAACUCCACUUUCCCAAUCCACCGACUCUGUCCCUCCCACGCCGCAGACGGCCCUGCCCAGCACCCGCCAGCUGGCCGCUAUGCUGCACGGCUUCCUGCACCGCCUGCAGUCCAGCGGCCAGCAGCCCGUGCAGGCGCAGCUGUUGUGGGCGCUGCAGCAGGCCGCGCGCGAUGAGCGGGCCGAUACGGAUCUCGGGUUCCAAGUCCACCAGUUCGUGCGGAGGCUAUGGAGCCGCACCGCGCCGCAGAUGGCGUGGCUGGUGCUGCGGGCGCGGCAGCGGGUGGCCGGCGACGCCAACGAUGGCGCGUGAGUGCAAGCCCGAUGCAAAUGAUCACUUGUGCAGGGGCCGAGCAAUUGUCAUUUGCUGACAUGCUGCCCUGUGCUGAGUCGCUGAGUCGCUUACCCUCUUCCUAUCUGCCCUGGCUGGCUGCUAACCAUGCACAGGGCGCACCCGCUGGUGCUGCAAGACCUGGAGGCGGCACUGCAGGACCUGCUGGCGGAGGAGUGGCAGGGGUGGUGGUGGCCGGGCAGCUGGUCGGCGGGCACGUGGCUGCGCGUGGGUGCGGCGGUGGGGCUGGUCGGCGGCGCGGUAGCGGUGGCGCUGAUGCCGGAUGGGGGCGGCCAGCGCAGCGGCAGCGUGAGCGGCACUGCGUUGGUGCCGGUGGGCGUGUCGAAGCGCUGAUGUGUGGGGCGAAGCAGGUGCGCCAGGACAGAUUUGGGUCAUUUGGCGGAGGCUUGGUGAGAUGUAUGACUUGGUGAAUGUGAGCGUGUCAGGCCGGGAGGAUGUAUGCUUGAGCAUCAUGGGGAUAGUAUCCAAGACUGGAUGGUGGGUAACAUGUCCGAGCAUCGAGUGACACCGUUCGACACUACUGAUCUGGGUCUAUGAAGCGGUUUCCAACUUGGCACUUCAGAGCGUGCCGCGAUAGAUUGCGUGAUGGAAUCGGGCGCGGCCAUAGGAUGGACAUUGAUGGUGGAAGGAGGAAGACUCCACCCGUCAUGAUUCUUACUCGCACUAUCUAGCGUGUGGGGGCGUGUGAUACCGUAAUGGCCUCUAAUGAUACCGUACUAUGAUAGGUGACGGUGGUGGUGUGCAUAUAACUCCAACGCUAUUCGGUUGGCACAGUGAUCUGUCGGUGCCGGUAUGGAGUAUGGAGUGUCGGGCGCAACCCUGCAAACAGCUGACUGGCAGAGGGGCGGCGGCGUGCGGACCCUGGGCAUAAGCUCUUGAAGCCAUCAGGUCGAUGACUGCCUGCGGGCUGGGGGCGUCUGUCUCGGUUGCUUUGUCACCAGCAAAAUUCAACAGCGUGUGUGCCGCGAGAGCGUGACGGCAUCAGGCGCGGCCAAAGGAUGGGAGGCAGGAGGAACACUCUCUCCCCGGCUCCUAGGACCCAGGUGUAAGCCUGCUGGUCCCAGGUUGCUUCUGGGUGUAAGCUUUCUCACUGCGCUAACUGCUUGGUGCCACCAAUUGCCCAGUUACGUAACACAUCCGGCUUGCAGGGGAAAGGCUUGGGGUAGGGGGCCUGGGACAGCCGGGGCACCGCUGCUCCAGGUCUGAGUCGUGUCUGGGGCCAGUCACUUCGGCCGUUCGCCUCCUAAUCGAUGCUGGCGCCCUCAAAACAGCAGCUACUGCGCGCUCCUAUAUACUUGUGAAUACAAAUAAACGGUAUACAUACAUAGCCACGGUUAGUAUACUUGUUUCGCGAGGAGUUUGUAAUAAGACGAGUCAGGGAAGGCCGUGUCUCCCUGCUUACAUGAACUAAUGUCCACUAAAACUUCUCAGCAAUCCCAGCCGCAUGCACAGCCAGCGAUGCCGGCAAAUGACAGCCGGGUGAGGAUGCCGCGUGGAUGGAUGUAUGGGUUUACCAUCGUUGCCGCACCAGCCGCACCUCAACUGAAAUGCUCUCUUACUUUCAAUGAUCAGGCUGAUGUAUGGCUGAUGGUGGCACUCGGUGGCCUGGUUCUAUGGAGGCGACGCUGCCUGUCGACUCAGGUGAGCGCCAACUGCCAGUAGUGCCUGUGCCGGCCCCACCUGCUCCCGGUCAAGGCCAAGCGCAUACUUGACUUCAACAAAAUGCGUGCAGCUGCGGGAAAGCGCCGAGAGAAUUGCGCUGAAGGCAACCCAGAGGGCGGCGGCUGGACCCCUGACACUGACCACAGAGGAGGUAUGGGUCAUGUCGCCAGCAGUCGGGCGUGAGUUUUCAUGUUUGUGCUUGCCAGCCAAAACCCGGUACGUACCCAAUCUUGCGAAACCUACCAUAGCGCUGACGGGUUCCACCCGUGAAUAUUGCACCUUGUUAUGCACCCACUAACUCACACCUGCAGAUGUGCCUGGAGUCGUGCGUGAAGAGUCCGGGCGACUGGGAACUGGAACACCUGCAAGUGUUCGGCGCUGACCCGGCAGUGGUGGAGCGCCUGGUGCGUGGGUGUGUCGGGCCCGCACAUCCGGCCGCAAUGCAUGAGUGGCCGUGGCACCUCCUGCAUGCCUUGCAUAGGGUGUUUGUCGCAAUUCGUCAUCUACAUGCUGCACGCCGCUGCAGGGUAACAUAGCGCACACCCAACUUAAGAGCAGUGUACCCUAGCUCCCCGCCGCCGCCACCGCCCGCAGGACAGCGAGGUGGUGCGGGCGCUGCAGCAGCCCGAGCUGCUGGGGCGGCUGGGGCUGCAGCACCUGGCGCUCUGCGACGCGCACAUGCAGCCGCCCUACCUAGUGCUGCUGUGAGUGCCCGCCGCCCGCCGCCUCCGGAGGAGCCUUCCGUACCACCGUGCUACUGCUGGGUUGCUUGCUUGGUUGCACACGUAGUUUGCAGUGAGAAGUGCCGGACCGGGAGGAGCAGCUAGGAGAAGCCAUCUGCAGUUGCCGCGCACCCGCUUGAUUGCGUGCAUAUGGCCCCACACUACUCUCACAAAUGCCUUUGGUACAUUUUGUUGUGUGCAGCCAGGGACCGGCCCGCACCGGCAAGAAGUCCAUGGUGCUGGUGAGUUCCGUGCGACACGAAUGAACAUCCGGAAGUGCAUGUGCGCCAUGGCCCCCGUCAUGCUUGACCCUUACCUAUUACUUUUAGCCUGAUGAUGAUCGCUCUACCGCCCUUCUUUAUGUGCUAUUGCUCCUUCGCACAUCCAUCUUGCGUGCCAAACUGCACGCACCCCAUACAGGAGCUCGCGCGCACAAACGGCAUUACCGUGCUGCACCUGGACAAGCACUCGCUCGAGGCAGCCCACAAGGCGGCGUGCUGCUGGGGCGCGCUCGGCAGCUGGUG